CGGCCGCGUCGACCUGGGGAGUACGGUCGCAAGAUUAAAACUCAAAGGAAUUGACGGGGACCCGCACAAGCGGUGGAUGAUGUGGAUUAAUUCGAUGCAACGCGAAAAACCUUACCUAGCCUUGACAUGCCAGGAAUCCCGAAGAGAUUUGGGAGUGCCCGCAAGGGAAUCUGGACACAGGUGCUGCAUGGCUGUCGUCAGCUCGUGUCGUGAGAUGUUGGGUUAAGUCCCGCAACGAGCGCAACCCUUGUCACUAGUUGCUACGAAAGGGCACUCUAGUGAGACUGCCGGUGACAAACCGGAGGAAGGUGGGGAUGACGUCAAGUCCUCAUGGCCCUUAUGGCUAGGGCCUCACACGUCAUACAAUGGUCGGAACAGAGGGCAGCAAAGCCGCGAGGCGGAGCAAAUCCCAGAAAACCGAUCGUAGUCCGGAUUGCAGUCUGCAACUCGACUGCAUGAAGUCGGAAUCGCUAGUAAUCGCGGAUCAGCAUGCCGCGGUGAACUACGUUCCGGGUCUGUACCGG
Molecule: ribosomal RNA, 524 nt
Filed under: uncultured bacterium
Lineage: Bacteria
Description: bacterial SSU rRNA
Rfam family: Bacterial small subunit ribosomal RNA
Source: RNAcentral